UACGUAGGGUCCGAGCGUUGUCCGGAUUUAUUGGGCGUAAAGCGCUCGUAGGCGGUUUGGUAAGUCGGGUGUGAAACCUCCAGGCUCAACCUGGUGACGCCACCCGAUACUGCCAUGACUUGAGUUCGGUAGGGGAGCGGGGAAUUCCUGGUGUAGCGGUGAAAUGCGCAGAUAUCAGGAGGAACACCGGUGGCGAAGGCGCCGCUCUGGGCCGAAACUGACGCUGAGGAGCGAAAGCGUGGGGAGCAAACAGG
RNAcentral lists this ribosomal RNA (254 nucleotides) under uncultured bacterium. RNAcentral's name for it is "partial 16S ribosomal RNA". It matches the Rfam family "Bacterial small subunit ribosomal RNA", at positions 524 to 776 of the family's 1533-position model. The record is from RNAcentral.